This is a long non-coding RNA of Alligator sinensis (Chinese alligator), 269 nucleotides long. RefSeq lists it as uncharacterized. The record is from RefSeq and is a predicted model, not a curated record. NCBI's taxonomy places the organism in Eukaryota, Metazoa, Chordata, Crocodylia, Alligatoridae. The transcript is spliced from 3 exons.
CUAUCUUGCCUGUAAACUCCUGGAGACUCCUGUUUGCAGUGAGCUGGAAAAUUGCUUUUAAAAUAAUGUAGGGCCGGAAGGAACUUCGAGAAAUCAUCUAGCUCAUCCCACUGCACUGAGGCAGAAUCAAACCUGCUUAGACCACCUCUGACAGAUGUUUGUCUAACCUGCUCUUCAGCCUCCCCAGUGACCCAGUGACUAGCUAAGGAGAAUCACUGAUGGGUUCCAAAGAGCAUCCUACCCAGCCACCUCCAAAAUCCACAUGACAC